This 30-nucleotide non-coding RNA is filed under the name Mus musculus (house mouse). Lineage: Eukaryota; Metazoa; Chordata; Mammalia; Rodentia; Muridae. The record is from RNAcentral.
UAAAAUACGCAAGCCUUUCUCCUGUCUAAA